CGGUUAAGUUAGAAAGGGCGCACGGUGGAUGCCUUGGCACUAGGAGCCGAUGAAGGACGGGACGAACACCGAUAUGCUUCGGGGAGCUGUAAGCAAGCUUUGAUCCGGAGAUUUCCGAAUGGGGAAACCCACUGCUCGUAAUGGAGCAGUAUCCAUAUCUGAAUUCAUAGGAUAUGAGAAGGCAGACCCGGGGAACUGAAACAUCUAAGUACCCGGAGGAAGAGAAAGCAAAUGCGAUUCCCUGAGUAGCGGCGAGCGAAACGGGAACAGCCCAAACCAAGAGGCUUGCCUCUUGGGGUUGUAGGACACUCUGUACGGAGUUACAAAAGAACGAGGUAGAUGAAGAGGUCUGGAAAGGCCCGCCAUAGGAGGUAACAGCCCUGUAGUCAAAACUUCGUUCUCUCCUGAGUGGAUCCUGAGUACGGCGGAACACGUGAAAUUCCGUCGGAAUCCGGGAGGACCAUCUCCCAAGGCUAAAUACUCCCUAGUGACCGAUAGUGAACCAGUACCGUGAGGGAAAGGUGAAAAGCACCCCGGAAGGGGAGUGAAAGAGAUCCUGAAACCGUGUGCCUACAAGUAGUCAGAGCCCGUUAACGGGUGAUGGCGUGCCUUUUGUAGAAUGAACCGGCGAGUUACGAUCCCGUGCAAGGUUAAGUUUGAAAAGACGGAGCCGCAGCGAAAGCGAGUCUGAAUAGGGCGC
RNAcentral lists this ribosomal RNA (700 nucleotides) under Bacillus licheniformis. Its description in RNAcentral is "partial 23S ribosomal RNA". It matches the Rfam family "Bacterial large subunit ribosomal RNA", at positions 1 to 695 of the family's 2925-position model. Lineage: Bacteria; Bacillati; Bacillota; Bacilli; Caryophanales; Bacillaceae. The record is from RNAcentral.